This 497-nucleotide ribosomal RNA is filed under the name uncultured bacterium. RNAcentral describes it as "partial 16S ribosomal RNA". It matches the Rfam family "Bacterial small subunit ribosomal RNA", at positions 28 to 507 of the family's 1533-position model. The record is from RNAcentral.
GAUGAACGCUGGCGGCGUGCCUAAUACAUGCAAGUCGAGCGAACAGACGAGGAGCUUGCUCCUCUGACGUUAGCGGCGGACGGGUGAGUAACACGUGGAUAACCUACCUAUAAGACUGGGAUAACUUCGAGAAACCGGAGCUAAUACCGGAUAAUAUAUUGAACCGCAUGGUUCAAUAGUGAAAGACGGUUUUGCUGCCACUUAUAGAUGGAUCCGCGCCGCAUUAGCUAGUUGGUAAGGUAACGGCUUACCAAGGCAACGAUGCGUAGCCGACCUGAGAGGGUGAUCGGCCACACUGGAACUGAGACACGGUCCAGACUCCUACGGGAGGCAGCAGUAGGGAAUCUUCCGCAAUGGGCGAAAGCCUGACGGAGCAACGCCGCGUGAGUGAUGAAGGUCUUCGGAUCGUAAAACUCUGUUAUUAGGGAAGAACAAAUGUGUAAGUAACUAUGCACGUCUUGACGGUACCUAAUCAGAAAGCCACGGCUAACUACGUG